Molecule: non-coding RNA, 378 nt
Organism: Macaca mulatta (Rhesus monkey)
Lineage: Eukaryota; Metazoa; Chordata; Mammalia; Primates; Cercopithecidae
Source: the annotation of a RefSeq genome assembly
AUGGACAUGAGGGUUCCUCCUCAGCUCCUGGGGCUCCUGCUGCUCUGGCUCCCAGGUGCCAGACGUGCCAUCCAGAUGACCCAGUCUCCAUCCUCCCUGUCUGUAUCUGUAGGAGACGGAGUCACCAUCACUUGCCAGGCAAGUCAGGGCAUUAGCAAUGAGUUAGCCUGGUAUCAGCAGAAACCAGGGAAUUCUCCUAAGCUCCUUAUAUAUAAAGCAUCCAAUUUGCAGACAGGGUUAGCAUCUCAGUUCAUUGGUGGUGGAUCUGGAAUAGAUUUCACUCUCACCAUAAACAACAUUCAGCCUGACGAGGUUGCAACUUAUUACUGCCAACAGGAGAAUAGUUCCCCUUGCCCAGUGUUACAAGUCAUAAACUAA